CCGCGUGAACGAUGAAAUAUUUAGGUAUGUAAAGUUCUUUUAUUAAAGAAGAAAAAAUGAUGGAAAAAUCAUUCUGACGGUAUUUAAUGAAUAAGCCCCGGCUAACUAUGUGCCAGCAGCUGCGGUAAUACAUGGGGGGCAAGCGUUAUCCGGAUUUAUUGGGCGUAAAGGGUGUGUAGGCGGUUUAAUAAGUCUAUGGUAUAAGUUCAACGCUUAACGUUGUGAUGCUAUGGAAACUGUUUGACUAGAGUUGGAUAGAGGCAAGUGGAAUUCCAUGUGUAGCGGUAAAAUGCGUAAAUAUAUGGAGGAACACCAGUAGCGAAGGCGGCUUGCUGGGUCUUAACUGACGCUGAGGCACGAAAGCGUGGGGAGCAAACAGGAUUAGAUACCCUGGUAGUCCACGCCGUAAACGAUGAGUACUAAGUGUUGGGUUAAACCAGUGCUGAAGUUAACACAUUAAGUACUCCGCCUGAGUAGUACGUACGCAAGUAUGAAACUUAAAGGAAUUGACGGGACUCCGCACAAGCGGUGGAUCAUGUUGUUUAAUUCGAAGAUACACGAAAAACCUUACCAGGUCUUGACAUACUCUGCAAAGCUAUAGAAAUAUAGUGGAGGUUAUCAGGGAUACAGGUGGUGCAUGGUUGUCGUCAGCUCGUGUCGUGAGAUGUUGGGUUAAGUCCCGCAACGAGCGCAACCCUUAUCGCUAGUUACCAUCAUUUAGUUGGGCACUUUAGUGAGACUGCCAAUGAUAAAUUGGAGGAAGGUGGGGAUUACGUCAAAUCAUCAUGCCCCU
RNAcentral lists this ribosomal RNA (793 nucleotides) under Candidatus Phytoplasma mali. RNAcentral describes it as "bacterial SSU rRNA". It matches the Rfam family "Bacterial small subunit ribosomal RNA", at positions 397 to 1202 of the family's 1533-position model. The record is from RNAcentral. Lineage: Bacteria; Bacillati; Mycoplasmatota; Mollicutes; Acholeplasmatales; Acholeplasmataceae.